Long non-coding RNA from Haliotis rubra (blacklip abalone), 328 nucleotides. RefSeq lists it as uncharacterized. Lineage: Eukaryota; Metazoa; Mollusca; Gastropoda; Lepetellida; Haliotidae. The record is from RefSeq and is a predicted model, not a curated record. The transcript has 2 exons.
UAAACCUUAAAAGUAUAUUUAGCAUCUUAAAUGCGGAAUCGUGUUCAGAGAUCAACGCUCCUUUAAUUCGUCUCGCCGCAGUAGCUGAACACACCCACAUCGCUGAUAAGCUGGAUAACGCAGUCAGCUUAUUAUCCGAGAUAAAGAUGUACAAUCAAGAAGCAAGCACAACCACACAUACCUCGGAGCCGCGGAAGUUAUCGAGUGUUUCCGAAUUACAGCCAGCUACGACGAAGCGGUGAGCUUUUAACUUGUUGAAAUGACUCACUGGGAAUAAAUAGACCGUUGCAUUAUGGGUAGAGCUCAGUUGUGCAAUAACCGAUUUGAA